Molecule: long non-coding RNA, 652 nt
Organism: Oncorhynchus tshawytscha (Chinook salmon)
Lineage: Eukaryota; Metazoa; Chordata; Actinopteri; Salmoniformes; Salmonidae
Source: Ensembl
GAAUAUGUAGACUGGGCCGACAGAGCGUAGCACAGUGUUGCAAUAUCGUUUCGCAUCAUAAAAGAGGUGGCUCCUUGUAGUGGUCCAGCUGGAGUGAACCGUGCUCCAGGUUUAAAAUGUUACUAUAUGUUCUGCGUUCCAUAAUGAUUCAAAUAGGUUAUAUGUGAUUCGUAUCGGGAAACUAGGCGUAUGUCGUGCUUCACUACUUCACAGGAGAGCCAUUUGAAGAGCAGACAAGCCUAGUCAUGAUUGCUGAGGUGUAAACUAAAGCAUCCAAAACACCAGCUGGUCCUGUCCCUCCGGCCCAUCCACCAACUGUGUAUCAGAGUUGUCACACCUGGUGAGGUCAUGCUGGGAGGCCCAACAACUCCAGAAGGUGGAGCCAGGGCCUAGAUAGAUGAUCAACUCACCACACCAGACUGGAAUACAGAUUUGUGGCCAUACAAAGAGGGAACAUUGAGUACAACAUGGAAUAAAAGAUCCAGGUGAUAAUAUCUUUAUAAUAUCAAUCUAAGCAGUUUUUUUGGUAACGUAUUAGAAGUCAGAUUUUUAUUUUUUUAUCCUUUAUUUAACUAGGCAAGUCAGUUAAGAACAAAUUCUUAUUUACAAUGACAGUCUCCUGGGGAACAGCAGGUUAAUUGCCUUGUUCAGG